CACGUAGGCGGAUAUUUAAGUCAGGGGUGAAAUCCCAGAGCUCAACUCUGGAACUGCCUUUGAUACUGGGUAUCUUGAGUAUGGAAGAGGUAAGUGGAAUUCCGAGUGUAGAGGUGAAAUUCGUAGAUAUUCGGAGGAACACCAGUGGCGAAGGCGGCUUACUGGUCCAUUACUGACGCUGAGGUGCGAAAGCGUGGGGAACAAACA
This 207-nucleotide ribosomal RNA is filed under the name uncultured bacterium. Its description in RNAcentral is "partial 16S ribosomal RNA". It matches the Rfam family "Bacterial small subunit ribosomal RNA", at positions 568 to 774 of the family's 1533-position model. The record is from RNAcentral.